RNAcentral lists this ribosomal RNA (584 nucleotides) under uncultured fungus. RNAcentral describes it as "eukaryotic LSU rRNA". The stretch from base 44 to 197 matches the Rfam family "5.8S ribosomal RNA". Lineage: Eukaryota; Fungi. The record is from RNAcentral.
AGUAUCAGAAUGUGAUUUUAUCAUGCGUAACGCAUUAUAAUACAACUUUCAGCAACGGAUCUCUUGGCUCUCGCAUCGAUGAAGAACGCAGCGAAAUGCGAUAAGUAAUGUGAAUUGCAGAAUUCAGUGAAUCAUCGAAUCUUUGAACGCACCUUGCGCUCCUUGGUAUUCCGAGGAGCAUGCCUGUUUGAGUGUCAUGGGAUUCUCAACCCGAAAGAAUUUUAUUAUUCUGAGGGCUUGGACUUGGAGGUUUGUGUCGGCUCUUAGUUCAGUCGACUCCUCUCAAAUGCAUUAGCGUGAAUCUUACGGAUCGCCUUCAGUGUGAUAAUUAUCUGCGCUGUGGUUGCGUGAAGUAUUUAUAAACGGACUCAUGCUUACAAUCGUCUCUUGUGUGAGACAAUUUAUAUGACAUCUGGCCUCAAAUCAGGUAGGACUACCCGCUGAACUUAAGCAUAUCAAUAAGCGGAGGAAAAGAAACUAACAAGGAUUCCCCUAGUAACUGCGAGUGAAGCGGGAAAAGCUCAAAUUUAAAAUCUGGCAGCCUUGGUUGUCCGAGUUGUAGUCUAGAGAAGCGUCUUCCGCGC